AACGUUUCAGCAAAGAACUUGGCACGGCUGACAAGGAUGAAGAUGCCUCAAAACACUGGUGAAGGCGUAGGAACUGCCAGGCUAGUUGUCACAGAUGAAGCUUUACCCCCUUCAGCUAUUAGAUAGGAUUGUAAGUAUACACAAUGCCCCUGGCAGGCACAUACUGUUGCGUGGAUGUGCUGGAGAAUGCCAGGGUGUAUCUACAUGCGCUCAUUGCCUACCUACCUCCCUGCUGCAUCUAUGAUUCCCG
RNAcentral lists this long non-coding RNA (250 nucleotides) under Volvox carteri. RNAcentral's name for it is "long non-coding RNA (VCAR_LNC004185)". The record is from RNAcentral. Lineage: Eukaryota; Viridiplantae; Chlorophyta; Chlorophyceae; Chlamydomonadales; Volvocaceae.